This 253-nucleotide ribosomal RNA is filed under the name uncultured bacterium. RNAcentral describes it as "partial 16S ribosomal RNA". It matches the Rfam family "Bacterial small subunit ribosomal RNA", at positions 524 to 776 of the family's 1533-position model. The record is from RNAcentral.
UACAGAGGAGCCAAGCGUUGUCCGGAUUGACUGGACGUAAAGCGCACGCAGGCGGACGCGCGCGUGGGGUGUGAAAUCUGGCCGCUUAACGGCCAGGCGCCAUCCCAUACGGCGCGACUGGAGUGAUGCAGAGGUCGAUGGAAUUGCCGGUGUAGUGGUGAAAUGCGUAGAGAUCGGCAGGAACACCCAGGGGGAAACCAGUCGACUGGGCAUCUACUGACGCUGAGGUGCGAGAGCGUGGGGAGCGAACCGG